Molecule: ribosomal RNA, 433 nt
Filed under: uncultured bacterium
Lineage: Bacteria
Description: partial 16S ribosomal RNA
Rfam family: Bacterial small subunit ribosomal RNA
Source: RNAcentral
AGCGAACGCUGGCGGCAGGCCUAACACAUGCAAGUCGAACGAACUCUUCGGAGUUAUUGGCGGUCGGGUGAGUAACACGUGGGAACGUGCCUUUUGGUUCGGAAUAACUCAGGGAAACUUGUGCUAAUACCGAAUGUGCCCUUCGGGGGUAAGAUUUAUUGCUAUUAGAGCGGCGCGCGUCUGAUUAGCUAGUUGGUGAUGUAACGGCUAACCAAUGCCACGAUCAGUAGCUGGUCUGUGAGGAUGACAAACCGCACUGGGGAUGCGGCACGGACCAGUACCGUACGGAAGGGAGGAGUAGAGUAUAUUACGGACUGAAGGAUAGUGUGACGCAGCCAUGCCGGGGGAAUGAUGAAGGUCUUAGGAAUGUGAAAUUCUUUGAGCGGGGGCGAUAAUGACGGUAACCGGAGAAGAAGCCCCGGCUAACUUCGUG